RNAcentral lists this unclassified non-coding RNA (2281 nucleotides) under Ceratitis capitata (Mediterranean fruit fly). RNAcentral describes it as "transmembrane protein 135, transcript variant X2". Lineage: Eukaryota; Metazoa; Arthropoda; Insecta; Diptera; Tephritidae. The record is from RNAcentral.
AGAAAAAAAUCAGUUGUCUUUCCGCUCUACAACACAAAAAUCGUCUAAAAAAUGUAAAUCAUCAACACACACUAUUAAAUGAUAAGAGUUAUUGGGCUGGGUCGAACGCUUAUCAAUGCGCGCUGCGCUGCCUCUGCCUUCAAUUAGUUAGUUAAUUGCGCCGAACUUAAACUGCAAAUAUGACUAACGCCUUGAGCCGCUUUCUGACGCCGGUCGCUUGCAACUGCAAAGAUUUCAGCCAUCCAUGGACGGAGAGCUGUGCAAAUGCAUCGGCAGGCAUACUUCUGUCCGCAAUACCAACAAGUUUGCGUAUCUACACCAUGGUCUAUGCGCUAUCACUCAUUAUGCGCCAUCGCAUACCCAAUCUCACCGAUCUCAAACAUACACUGCAUGGCAUAUUGCAAUCAUCCGCUUUCCUCGUCUCCAAUAGCUACUCAUUCAUCAUGUUCAAUUGCCUGUUACGUAAAAUCAUCGGUCACUAUUAUUGUGCCACAGUCGCUUUCAUACCCAGCUUCAUCUCCAGUUUUGCAUCGAUACUUGUCGAACGGCCCGCUCGGCGGCCACUUCUUACACUUUACGUAGCAAAUUUGGCUACCGAAACGCUGUGGAAUAUGGCCGAAGUACGCGGUUAUGUACGCUCUAUACCGCAAGGUCAAACAUUGAUCUUUGGCAUUAGCAUAUCAGCAUUGCUGUAUCUCUAUCGAUUAGGCCUACAUAAGACUACCUGUAAAGAUUCACUUUUCAAUAUUUUACGCUUUUUUGUGGAUAAAACCGAGGAGGGACCAAUCAAAUCCAUUACAUCAAAUACAUCAGAGGCGUCAACAUCUGCUAGCGCUGCACAGCGUUCACGUGCGCCGCUGGAUUUCCGAAGCAUAAAUGUGCUUGUACAGUUAUAUAGUCGCUUCUUGGGUGCGGUGAAGAGUAAACAUGCGUCGUGUCCGCAUCGUGAUAUGUGUUGGCGUUAUGCGCUAAUUGGUGGUCUGAAACCGUUCGUUGGUGGCGUGGGCCUGCAGGUGACGCUGCGUUUAGUUAUGAAUUUCAGGAAAAUUGUACAAUUCAAAUUUAACCCAAGAAAGGCACUAUUCAACAAGGAUACGCUCAAUUUGGGCAUCUUUUUGGGCUGUUUUUCAUUUAUUUAUAAGAGCGUCUCCUGCACGUUGCGGCACAGCUUUGGUCGUGAUGAUCCACGUUUUGCAAUACCCGCAGGUCUCUUGGCAAGUGUUGCGUUCACUAAAUAUCCCGAUGUUACUGUGGCAUUGUAUGUGAUGUGGAAAGCACUGCAAAUAUACUACGAUUUGGGCAUUAAGGAAGGAGUUUUGCCUCACAUAUCCAAUUUUACGCUCCUCUUAUAUUCCUUCUGCACCGCUAUACUGUUCCAUGCUGGUAUUCUGGAGCCAAAAACAAUUCGACCAAGCUACUUUAAAUUUCUACAAGCGAUUUCUGGUGAUAGACUUAAUCGAUUUAAUUUGGAGCCUUUCAAUGUGUAUGGUCAAAAUGCCAGCGAACAAAUGAAAGAAGUUUCUCGGCGAUUAAAUAUUAUUAACAAAUCACCGUUACCAAAAUGUUCGCUUGCCUCUUGGAAAUAAUGAUACGUGUACGACAGUGACAACAAUGAUAUAAUAACCAUGGAGAAACAUACAUACAUACGUACAUAUAGAGAAUAUCAGACUUAUGAAGGGUAAUGCUGUGACGAAAAAUCUAUAUGUAUAUCAAAAAACCGGUGAAAAACCGGUGUAGAAUUACAAGAAGUGAGAAAAAAGUAAAGGAAAUAGUUAGGCCAUUCACAAGCUUUGUCUUAUGUCUCAUGUCAUAUUUCAAUUGGCUUCAAAAAUACGACCCUUGUGAGCGCCCCUUAAUCGUUGUAUGUGCUGUGUAAUACAUAUUUCUUCUGCCACACUCCACUUAUGCACAGAGUUAAAUGGCGGCAUUUUGGUUUACACUGAACAAAAUAUUUUUAUAUCUCCCUUCUAUUCGACUUGAUUUACCUGAAUAUCGUGGAAAACAACAACAAUAUUAAUAGGAUAAUCACAAAGAAAUAAGACAAUAUGACGAUGUGACACAAUAUGACACCUCGUGAAUACCCUAAGUAAUUCCUAAAAUGUAUUAAAUAAAAGUAAUAAUAAUGUAUGAUAGAGUAAGGGAUUUUUAUAAGCUAUGUGCAUAUGUAUAGAAUUAAGAAUUAUUUUGUUUAGUUAAUUUGGUAAGCGAUUUGUUGUUGGUACACAUAUAAUUUUAAUUUGUGUCGGCGUUGAGAGUGAUUUGGAAAUAUACAGUUUGUAUA